UUUUCUUUCUUGUCUAUGCUACAGUAGGGCAAGAUUUUAGAAUCAACAACGUCAUCUCCUUGGACCUGACCUGUAAACAUUUAAGUCAGCGUAUCUUAUGCAAACCAAGGUUGAAUUCCAAAUCUAAGUAAAUCUGUGUGAAGUUUCUUCUUCUGUGCAUAAAUUACUUGUUUCUUCUCAUGUGCAUAAAUGUUUUUUAAUUUUCUUUCGUAUUUUUUUCGUGAUAAAUCAAUAACAUCGUAUUUUUUUUGUACGUUUUUUCCUUUUCUCAAUAUUUUCCUGAAACCAACAAAAUAUAAUAAACACUUCUGCUAGGGAUGUAAAAACCCUAACCUUGCUGGUCUGCAGUGGCCUUAGGUGAAAUAAUAAAAAGUCUACGCGAAAGACGCAACUGCCGACCGACCAAUUGAAAUGACUCAACUCUCGAACAAGAUGAUGCAGAUGACAACGAUGCCGGCGAAAUCAAUGGCUUCCGUGACGAAGAAGCGAAGAGGCGC
RNAcentral lists this long non-coding RNA (497 nucleotides) under Vitis vinifera (wine grape). RNAcentral describes it as "long non-coding RNA (VVIN_LNC000392)". The record is from RNAcentral. Lineage: Eukaryota; Viridiplantae; Streptophyta; Magnoliopsida; Vitales; Vitaceae.